GGUAAUCAAUGAGUCACAAUUAUAGAAAGUCACUCUAUUUCUGUCUUAUCGCAUAAUGCUGAGAAUGUAGCAGCUUGUUCUUUAUUAGAGGUUGGACAGGUUUUUAUCGAUCUGACACGUGGUCUGCUGGUCUAUAAAACUUGGAUCAGCAGACAGAGAGAUGACAAACACAGCAUCAAGACUAAAGACUGUCUGACUGCUGCUGUAGACUCCAUCUGAAUUGCUACAUCUGGAGAAACAGAGCCUGCUGUGAAGCCAUGGCCUCCAAUCUAUCCCUCCUCCUGCUCGUCCUGAGUGCUUUCAUCACAGCUGAAGCAAUGGAACUGAGAGUGUUUAGCAUGCGGGCCACUAAUUUUCCCU
Long non-coding RNA from Scomber japonicus (chub mackerel), 360 nucleotides. RefSeq lists it as uncharacterized. The record is from RefSeq and is a predicted model, not a curated record. The transcript is spliced from 3 exons. Lineage: Eukaryota; Metazoa; Chordata; Actinopteri; Scombriformes; Scombridae.